RNAcentral lists this ribosomal RNA (401 nucleotides) under uncultured bacterium. Its description in RNAcentral is "bacterial SSU rRNA". It matches the Rfam family "Bacterial small subunit ribosomal RNA", at positions 357 to 774 of the family's 1533-position model. The record is from RNAcentral.
GGGAAUAUUGCACAAUGGAGGAAACUCUGAUGCAGCGACGCCGCGUGAGUGAAGAAGGUCUUCGGAUCGUAAAACUCUGUCCUUGGUGACGAAAAAAUGACGGUAGCCAAGGAGGAAGCCCCGGCUAACUACGUGCCAGCAGCCGCGGUAAUACGUAGGGGGCGAGAGUUGUCCGGAUUUACUGGGCGUAAAGGGUGAGUAGGCGGUAAUAUGUGUCAGAUGUAAAAGGCUAUGGCUUAACCAUAGUUGGCAUUUGAAACUGUAUUACUUGAGUGCAGGAGAGGUAAGUGGAAUUCCGAGUGUAGCGGUGAAAUGCGUAGAUAUUAGGAUGAACACCAGUGGCGAAGGCGACUUACUGGACUGUAACUGACGCUGAGUCACGAAAGCGUGGGUAGCAAACA